UACGUAGGGGGCGAGCGUUGUCCGGAUUCAUUGGGCGUAAAGAGCUCGUAGGCGGUUCAGUAGGUCGGGUGUGAAAUCUCCGUGCUCAACACGGAGCGGCCACCUGAUACUGCUGUGACUCGAGUCCGGUAGGGGAGUGUGGAAUUCCCGGUGUAGCGGUGAAAUGCGCAGAUAUCGGGAGGAACACCAGUGGCGAAGGCGACACGCUGGGUCACACCUGACGCUAAAGCGCGACAGCAUGGGGAGCGAACGGG
RNAcentral lists this ribosomal RNA (254 nucleotides) under uncultured bacterium. RNAcentral describes it as "partial 16S ribosomal RNA". It matches the Rfam family "Bacterial small subunit ribosomal RNA", at positions 524 to 776 of the family's 1533-position model. The record is from RNAcentral.